CCGACGGUGAGAGGCGAAAGCUGGGGGAGCAAACCGGAUUAGAUACCCGGGUAGUCCCAGCUGUAAACGAUGCGCGUUAGGUGUGUCAGUGACCACGUGUCACUGAUGUGCCGAAGGGAAACCGUGAAACGCGCCGCCUGGGGAGUACGGUCGCAAGGCUGAAACUUAAAGGAAUUGGCGGGGGAGCACCACGACGGGUGGAGCCUGCGGUUUAAUCGGACUCAACGCCGGAAAUCUCACCGGAUAA
RNAcentral lists this ribosomal RNA (247 nucleotides) under uncultured archaeon. RNAcentral describes it as "partial 16S ribosomal RNA". It matches the Rfam family "Archaeal small subunit ribosomal RNA", at positions 691 to 937 of the family's 1478-position model. The record is from RNAcentral.